CGCGGCGUAUUAGCUAGUUGGUGAGGUAAUGGCUCACCAAGGCGAUGAUACGUAGCCGACCUGAGAGGGUGAUCGGCCACACUGGGACUGAGACACGGCCCAGACUCCUACGGGAGGCAGCAGUAGGGAAUCUUCCGCAAUGGACGAAAGUCUGACGGAGCAAUGCCGCGUGAGUGAAGAAGGUUUUCGGAUCGUAAAGCUCUGUU
Molecule: ribosomal RNA, 206 nt
Filed under: Anophryoides haemophila
Lineage: Eukaryota; Ciliophora; Oligohymenophorea; Philasterida; Glauconematidae
Description: partial Bacterial small subunit ribosomal RNA
Rfam family: Bacterial small subunit ribosomal RNA
Source: RNAcentral